CAAGGGUCGUAAUUAUUAGUACCAAACCAAUUCCGCAAGGAAUGUGAUGAAUCAUAGUAAUCGAACGAAUCGCAGGUAUAUGCGAUAAGUCAUUCAAGUUUCUGCCCUAUCAGCUUUGGAUGGUAGUGUAUUGGACUACCAUGGCAGUCAUGGGUAACGGAGAAUUAGGGUUCGAUUCCGGAGAGGGAGCCUGAGAAACGGCUACCACAUCUACGGAAGGCAGCAGGCGCGAAAAUUGCCCAAUCCUGACACGGGGAGGCAGUGACAAGAAAUAACAACUCUAGGUUUUCUUAGAAGUGUAAUGAGGAUAAUUUACAAACCUUACCAAAUGCAAUUGGAGGGCAAGUCUGGUGCCAGCAGCCGCGGUAAUUCCAGCUCCAAUAGCGUAUAUUAAAGUUGUUGCAGUUAAAAAGCUCGUAGUUGAAAUUCUGAUUGUUCGGGUUUUUAGCCUUUAGGCAGAAAUACCGACAGUCAUCCGCUUGCAAACAUAGCUUGAUCUUAACCGAUUAACUAUGUGAGUAAGCACUUUACCUUGAGAAAAACAGAGUGUUCCAGGCAGGUUUGUCCGGAAUGCAUUAGCAUGGAAUAAUAGAACAUGACUGAAGUCAAUUUAUUGGUUAAAGACUUUAGUAAUGAUUAAUAGGAACAGUCGGGGGCAUUCGUACUCAGCAGUCAGAGGUGAAAUUCUAAGAUUUGCUGAAGACGAACUAAUGCGAAAGCAUUUGCCAAGGAUGUUUUCAUUAAUCAAGAACGAAAGUUAGGGGAUCAAAGACGAUCAGAUACCGUCCUAGUCUUAACUAUAAACGAUACCGACUCGGAUUCAGAUGAAUCAAAAUGUUCAUUUGGGACCGUAGGAGAAAUCAAAGUCUUUGGGUUCUGGGGGGAGUAUGGUCGCAAGGCUGAAACUUAAAGGAAUUGACGGUUUUGCACCACCAUGGAGUGGAGUUUGCGGCUUAAUUUGACCCAACACUGGGAAACUCAUCAGGGCAAGAAGAUUUUAGGAUUGACAGAUUGAGAGUUCUUUCUUGAUUGGUCUAGUGGUGGUGCAUGGCCGUUCUUAGUUGGUGGAGUGAUUUGUCUGGUUAAUUCCGUUAACGAACGAGACCUUAACCUGCUAACUAGUGUUCUUAUUUCAAAUUUGAAUCACUUCUUAGAGGGACUAUGUGAUGUAAUCACAUGGAAGUUUGAGGCAAUAACAGGUCUGUGAUGCCCUUAGAUGUCCUGAGCUGCACGCGUACUACAAUGGCACUUUCAACGAGUUUUUCCUGAUCCGAAAGGAUUUGGGUAAUCUUUUUAGUGAGUGCCGUGAUUGGGAUAGAUCUUUGUAAUUAUGGAUCUUGAACU
Molecule: ribosomal RNA, 1344 nt
Filed under: metagenome
Description: SSU rRNA
Rfam family: Eukaryotic small subunit ribosomal RNA
Source: RNAcentral